RNAcentral lists this ribosomal RNA (244 nucleotides) under Salmonella enterica subsp. enterica serovar Infantis. RNAcentral's name for it is "partial 16S ribosomal RNA". It matches the Rfam family "Bacterial small subunit ribosomal RNA", at positions 1 to 243 of the family's 1533-position model. RNAcentral also lists the same sequence under 5 other names. The record is from RNAcentral. Lineage: Bacteria; Pseudomonadati; Pseudomonadota; Gammaproteobacteria; Enterobacterales; Enterobacteriaceae.
AAAUUGAAGAGUUUGAUCAUGGCUCAGAUUGAACGCUGGCGGCAGGCCUAACACAUGCAAGUCGAACGGUAGCACAGAGAGCUUGCUCUCGGGUGACGAGUGGCGGACGGGUGAGUAAUGUCUGGGAAACUGCCUGAUGGAGGGGGAUAACUACUGGAAACGGUGGCUAAUACCGCAUAACGUCGCAAGACCAAAGAGGGGGACCUUCGGGCCUCUUGCCAUCAGAUGUGCCCAGAUGGGAUUA